AACGCACAUUGCGCCCGCCAGAAUUCUGGCGGGCAUGCCUGUUCGAGCGUCAUUUCAACCCUCGAGCUCCCCUUUCGGGGGGAGCCCGGCGUUGGGGACCCGGCGCUAACAACGCCGGCCCCCGAAAUGGAGUGGCGGCCCGUCCGCGGCGACCUCUGCGUAGUAACAACCACUCGCACCGGGACCCGGGCGCGGCCACGCCGUAAAACACCCCACCUUCCGAAUGUUGACCUCGAAUCAGGUAGGACUACCCGCUGAACUUAA
Molecule: unclassified non-coding RNA, 264 nt
Filed under: uncultured fungus
Lineage: Eukaryota; Fungi
Description: partial contains 5.8S ribosomal RNA, internal transcribed spacer 2, and large subunit ribosomal RNA
Source: RNAcentral